RNAcentral lists this ribosomal RNA (498 nucleotides) under uncultured beta proteobacterium. RNAcentral's name for it is "bacterial SSU rRNA". It matches the Rfam family "Bacterial small subunit ribosomal RNA", at positions 338 to 828 of the family's 1533-position model. Lineage: Bacteria; Pseudomonadati; Pseudomonadota; Betaproteobacteria. The record is from RNAcentral.
CCUACGGGAGGCAGCAGUGGGGAAUUUUGGACAAUGGGCGCAAGCCUGAUCCAGCCAUGCCGCGUGCAGGAUGAAGGCCUUCGGGUUGUAAACUGCUUUUGUACGGAACGAAAAGACUCUGGUUAAUACCUGGGGUCCAUGACGGUACCGUAAGAAUAAGCACCGGCUAACUACGUGCCAGCAGCCGCGGUAAUACGUAGGGUGCGAGCGUUAAUCGGAAUUACUGGGCGUAAAGCGUGCGCAGGCGGUUAUAUAAGACAGAUGUGAAAUCCCCGGGCUCAACCUGGGAACUGCAUUUGUGACUGUAUAGCUAGAGUACGGCAGAGGGGGAUGGAAUUCCGCGUGUAGCAGUGAAAUGCGUAGAUAUGCGGAGGAACACCGAUGGCGAAGGCAAUCCCCUGGGCCUGUACUGACGCUCAUGCACGAAAGCGUGGGGAGCAAACAGGAUUAGAUACCCUGGUAGUCCACGCCCUAAACGAUGUCAACUGGUUGUUGGGU